This 345-nucleotide long non-coding RNA is filed under the name Sitophilus oryzae (rice weevil). RNAcentral describes it as "uncharacterized LOC115882239". The record is from RNAcentral. Lineage: Eukaryota; Metazoa; Arthropoda; Insecta; Coleoptera; Curculionidae.
UAAUAUAUAAAUAUUUAACUUAAUACGUUCAUUAUUAUUUUAUUAAUUUAUCGUCACACGUCAUUUACCAGUUGCCUAAUUACGAAAAGUUUCAUAUGACAUUAACCUCAAAAAUGAUCUUUGAAAACAAACAACAACAAACAGAGCAACAAAUGAACAAAUAACUACAUAAUGACUGAUAAUGAUAAGUGAUAAUAAUAACUUUAAUGAUAUGAAGGCUGAUGAAGUUUUAGACAACCAAUACAAGAUUUAGAACUUGACAUCGUGAUAAACAAAUUGUACAUUCAGGAACUCGUUUAAAUAUUAUAGGUUGAUUGACGAAUACUCUACAGUUGAUUAGAGCCC